AAGUAUGAAAAACAGAAAUAGCUGUAAAAGUAUUUUUUAGAAAUCAGAACUUAUCUAAAGAAAAAGCAUAAGUUACAGAACUGAUUUAAACAAUGAGUUCAGGGAGAUUGGAAUUUAGUUGGAAAACAAUAGGCAGAAUAUUAGAAAAGAAACCGUUUCAAAAAAAAGAUGCAGAUUUGAAGAUUUCAACUUUUAAGACAAAUAUACACUGAUUCAAGAGAGUUUUAUCAAAAAGGGUUAAGGCUUUUGAAAACGUUACUAAAUUAAGGCGUUAAGGAACAUCAUAUUAUUGGUUUAAACGAAUAUGACGAAUUUGAUAUGAAAUCCUAUAGAAAUGAUAUCUAUAUUUGAUUUUCAGAACUUGUUAAGAAUUUGUGAAUAGAUGACUAUUUUAAUUAACCCUACAGUUGCCUAACAAAUAUGCAUUCCAUGUAGACAUGAUAUCUAUACAUGAAUUUUAAGAAAAAAUUUUAAACUCCUAUAGGCAGAAUCUCUAUAUGCAUGAUUACAGAUUAUGAACGUUAAAUCCUAUAGGCAUGCUUUUUAUGUGAUUUGUAGCAUAGUUAAGCGUUAACCCUAUAGGCAUGAUCUCUAGGUGAUUAAAUAUGAAAUAUUAGGCAGACCUAUAGGCAGGAUUUCUAGUGAAAGAUAAAGUCCUAAAGCAUGAUAUCUACCCUUGUUGAUGCAAGAAAGUAAAAUUCCUCCCACACCCUUUACUAUAUUUCCCCGAGUUUUAUACAAAUCAUUACAGAACCUGAAAAGAUAGAUAAAAAAUACAUUAAAGACUAACAGGUAGAUCCGAACAGCCCAAUUCAAUCUUAAUGUCCAAUAACAUGUGAUUAACCAUUUUCGGAUCCAGAUUUUCAGAGCCUUAUCUUUAUCUAAAGUGUUUCAAAGUUCCAAGGAAUCUCAGGGAUUUCCGACAUUGUUUAUACUAAGACUGCCAUUUAGAAUUAGAGUAGUGCAGUGUGGAAGAUCCAUCCCUCAGGCAUCCAAGUUCAGAGGGAGCUCAAGGGUCCCAAAGCAUGGCUUGCAAGAGGGGGGCAAAACUUAUAGCUAAGAGUAAUUGCAGAGUGAAAAAGAAUUGGGGACCCAUAGCAAAUGGUGGUCAUACCGAGCUACAAGUGCAGACUGGCACACCCCUUACCAAUUGUUUGGUUAAACAAGUUAGGAGGAGACCUUUGAAGGUCAGACCUAAGUUUGGACAGUUAUUAGGACUAUAUGGGACUCAAAUCUAAGGCUCAAACACAUAAAAGGGGAAAGAUGAGUGGGAAUUAAUUGAGUUAGGGGGUUCAAAGAACCCAGUUCAGAGUCAUAGAUAGUAAUGUUAUAAUGCUGCUAUGUCUUGAACCAUACAUAGAAAGGGGAAGGGAAAGGGGUUUACAUAAGAGAAGUAGUAACAAAAUUGCAGAAACAUAAUGAAGAAAACAUAACAGAACUUAGAAAGUAAACAUGUAGUGGAGGGCCAUUAUUUAAAUUAAGAAGAACAUACAGUUGCACAAUGAGAAUAAACAAAAUAGUAGAGCAAUCGCGGUAAGUAAAACAGCAGGAGAAAACUCAAAUUUCAGCAGAACACUUGAAGGCUCGAAGAGAACUCAAAGCUGUUUCAAAAAGCAAAGAGUAGAAGUAUAGGGAAUAAGAGAGUAGAAAGCAGAGUGCUUAAUGCUAUGAUUGAGAGUGUAAUUUAAUAGUGAAAGUUUUGGUGUUAAAGCGUGUAAAGCCUGUUUUCAAGUGCAAAAGGGUACCCUCUUUUAUAGUG
RNAcentral lists this long non-coding RNA (1759 nucleotides) under Nicotiana benthamiana. Its description in RNAcentral is "long non-coding RNA (NBEN_LNC037989)". Lineage: Eukaryota; Viridiplantae; Streptophyta; Magnoliopsida; Solanales; Solanaceae. The record is from RNAcentral.